RNAcentral lists this ribosomal RNA (344 nucleotides) under uncultured eukaryote. RNAcentral describes it as "SSU rRNA". It matches the Rfam family "Eukaryotic small subunit ribosomal RNA", at positions 567 to 936 of the family's 1831-position model. The record is from RNAcentral.
CCAGCAGCCGCGGUAAUUCCAGCUCCAGAAGCAUAUACUAAAUUUGCUGCAGUUAAAAAGCUCGUAGUUGAAUUUCUGGCUCGGUUGACCGUCGGUCAGGACGAACGUCCUUUCUGGUUACGCGUCGACUUUGCCAUCCUCGCGGCUCUCGGGCCGCGUCGUUCACUGUAAAGAAAGCAGAGUGUUCCAAGCAGGUCGUAGGACCGGUAUGUUUAUUAUGGGAUGAUGAGAUAGGACUUGGGUGCUAUUUUGUUGGUUUGCACACCCUGGUAAUGAUGAAUAGGAACGGCUGGGGGUAUUCGUAUUUAGGAGCUAGAGGUGAAAUUCUUGGAUUUCCGAAAGAC